Molecule: ribosomal RNA, 253 nt
Filed under: uncultured bacterium
Lineage: Bacteria
Description: partial 16S ribosomal RNA
Rfam family: Bacterial small subunit ribosomal RNA
Source: RNAcentral
UACGUAGGGGGCAAGCGUUGUCCGGAUUUAUUGGGCGUAAAGAGCUCGUAGGCGGUUUGUCGCGUCUGCUGUGAAAACGCGAGGCUCAACCUCGCGCCUGCAGUGGGUACGGGCAGACUAGAGUGCGGUAGGGGAGAUUGGAAUUCCUGGUGUAGCGGUGGAAUGCGCAGAUAUCAGGAGGAACACCGGUGGCGAAGGCGGGUCUCUGGGCCGUAACUGACGCUGAGGAGCGAAAGCGUGGGGAGCGAACAGG